AUGUCGCGGCCGGAGUGCUCAACGGCGAGCUUGCACGCGAAUUGCGGCGCCCCUGGCGCGGUGCCGUCCUCCCUGAUGCACACCAGCGACACGGUCGUGGUGACGCCGUCGUCCUCGCCAAGGGACACGAGGAAUAGAUUCGGGUGCUGGUCGGCGCCAGAAGAACGAAAAAAAAACGCCCGACUGUGCGUCCUCGAGCGAGGUCUCGUCGCCCCGACACUGCCCUCCUUCGCCCGCCGCCGCCCUUCGGUCCCUCGGCCCGAUCUCCGGUCGCCGUCCUCCACCGCGUCGGCGGCCGCCGCGGCGUGGCGCCACCUGCUGCUCCUCCUCACCGCCCAACUGCUCGCGCUCGCCCUCCUCGCGUUCGCGCUCCAGUGGCGCGGCGGCGGCGUGGACGACGCCGGCUCCCCUCGCCUGGCCGUGCCGGCCCCGUCGAGGCUGCAAUCCCUCCACUCCUCCGCCGCCUCCUGCGUCGAGGUGCUCUCCGCCCCCGCCUUCCCCUACCUCCGCGGCUGGUCCUUCCACUUCGACGCGCCGGACACCCACCACCCCAAAGAGGGGAUGGAGAGCUUUACAAAUGGGAAUGUUAGGUUAUUGAAGCAUGAACGCAGCAUUGUUGCAGAGGAUGAUCUUGACCGUCGGUGGCAGGAAGCCACUGGAGAGGCUGUUUCCGAGGUCUCCAACCGCCCUGCACUCACUGUCCAUCCAAUCGGUUGGUUCUGCAUUCAUUGAUUACACUUGAAGCUACUCACCAUGGACCACCAUGAAGCUACUCACCAUGGCCGAUGUGUCCGACCUGCUGAUCUUUUGCUUGCUUGCCAGGUGUGCGUGCAAACGAGCACCUCCGCAAGCCUGGACCAGAUCCUGCCGUGGCUCUUCUACCAUAAGGUCAUCGGUGUCGCACACUUUUUUCUCUUCGUCGAGGGCAAGGCCGCCAAGCCCAGCGUCGCCGGGGUCCUCGAGGGUGUGAAGGUGGUGUACAGGACCAAGGAGCUUGAGGAGCAGCAGGCCAGCCGAAUCCGGAACGAAACCUGGCUCGCAGGAUUCUUCUACAAGCCUUGCAACCACAAACUGUUUUUGAAGCAAGCACUCAACAUGGAGAUGGCCAUUGUGAUGGCCCGGUAUUCCAUCAGACGCCUGUUAGCUGACGUCCCCGAUGAUGUUGACAUGGUUAUUUUUCCUAACUAUGAAAGCAGGGUCGAGCAUGAUGAUAUAAAAGAUCCAUUCAGUGAGUAUGAUACUGUGGUAUGA
Molecule: ribosomal RNA, 1251 nt
Filed under: Triticum aestivum (bread wheat)
Lineage: Eukaryota; Viridiplantae; Streptophyta; Magnoliopsida; Poales; Poaceae
Description: partial small subunit ribosomal RNA
Source: RNAcentral